This is a long non-coding RNA of Apis cerana (Asiatic honeybee), 418 nucleotides long. RefSeq lists it as uncharacterized. Lineage: Eukaryota; Metazoa; Arthropoda; Insecta; Hymenoptera; Apidae. The record is from RefSeq and is a predicted model, not a curated record.
UGUAAAUAUUAGAGGCACAUAAUACAUAUUCAUGAACUGAACUCAAGAGAAAAUGGGAAUUGUUCGACUUUUUUUUUCAAGAUUAUGCAAUGCAGAAAUUUGAAUGUAUAAUAAAGGUGUUCUAAAUCAGAUCAGAUCAAAAACACAGUUAGGAUGGAUGUGUUUAGGUGGCCAUAUUUAUAUUCUCAUUUCUUGAUAUGGAAUAUAAAAAUUUCGAGUAGAAAGUUGCUGUGCCAACAAAAUUUAGAUUUUAAUACAGUUAUCUAGGAUUUGAAAUAUUAGGAAAUACGAGUAAAUUAUAAUUGCAAUGAUUCGAAUUAAAUUCCAAAAUGUAAUUUUCACAUACAAAAAUUUAACUUAAUUUAACAUUACUUGAUAAUCGUAGAAAUAAGAUGAAAUAAAUACAUUUUAUAGAUAA